This is a long non-coding RNA of Gopherus agassizii (Agassiz's desert tortoise), 382 nucleotides long. Lineage: Eukaryota; Metazoa; Chordata; Testudines; Testudinidae. The record is from Ensembl.
CUGGGAGCAAGGAGCUGAGGCAAGAGGAGAGCAGGCAGAUCUCCUGUUUCUGUAGGAGUGACGAUGAGCCACAGGAGGCCAGGCUCACUGCAGCUGGCACCACGCUGCUGCCGAAGGGGGGAAGAGAGAGAGAGAGUUACAUCCCCAGAAGUGUAGGGAAAGUGGGAUGGGCAGAGUUCAAAACCAGUUUUUUGGCGGGGAAGGCAGGGCAGCCACAACCAGCACCCAGGAACACACCAGAUUCUGGUCUCAAUGGAGAUGGAAAUAGGAGUUUUCCCCAUCUAUGCAGCUUGUUGGGAAGCAGUAAAAAGCUGCACACAACUUCAUGGAUCAGCCAGCCAAGCAGGAAUUGCUGGAGAACAAGUGCAAUGUAGAAACCACU